GGCUGAUCUGAAGUAGUGAUAACUGAUGUUCACAGUCAGUUACAGAUCAAGUGCCUUAUUUUACUUUUUCCCCUCUUCUCACUACUGCACUUGACUAAUUAAAA
RNAcentral lists this Y RNA (104 nucleotides) under Aotus nancymaae (Ma's night monkey). RNAcentral's name for it is "Y RNA (ENSANAG00000003869.1)". It matches the Rfam family "Y RNA". Rfam says of the family: Y RNAs are components of the Ro ribonucleoprotein particle (Ro RNP), in association with Ro60 and La proteins. The Y RNAs and Ro60 and La proteins are well conserved, but the function of the Ro RNP is not known. The record is from RNAcentral. Lineage: Eukaryota; Metazoa; Chordata; Mammalia; Primates; Aotidae.